This 465-nucleotide ribosomal RNA is filed under the name uncultured bacterium. RNAcentral describes it as "partial 16S ribosomal RNA". It matches the Rfam family "Bacterial small subunit ribosomal RNA", at positions 338 to 795 of the family's 1533-position model. The record is from RNAcentral.
CCUACGGGUGGCAGCAGUGGGGAAUAUUGCGCAAUGGGCGAAAGCCUGACGCAGCGACGCCGCGUGAGUGAUGAAGGUCUUCGGAUCGUAAACCUCUGUCAGCAGGGAAGAACGGUCACUGUGCUAAUCAGCAGUGAAUUGACGGUACCUGCCAAGGAAGCACCGGCUAACUCAGUGCCAGCAGCCGCGGUAAUACGGAGGGUGCGAGCGUUGAUCGGAAUUACUGGGCGUAAAGCGCUCGUAGGCGGUAUGGCAAGUCACGGGUGAAAGCCCCGCGCUCAACGUGGGAACUGCAUUUGAAACUGGCGAGCUGGAGUGUGGGAGAGGAAAGUGGAAUUCCAGGUGUAGCAGUGAAAUCCGUAGAUAUCAGGAGGAACACCAGUGGCGAAGGCGACUAUCUGGCACAUAACUGACGCUGAGGAGCGAAAGCGUGGGUAGCAAACAGGAUUAGAUACCCGAGUAGUC